GGAAAUGAAAAACAGUUACGUUGAAUUCUUUCUGUGCAAAUAAAAUCUCUAAAAUGUUUUCUUUUCAUUUUUAUGUGAAAUGAGAGUGGAAAGUUGUGAAAUUUAAUAAAAUUGUGAAUUUUGCUUAUAAGUGAGUGUGAGUUUUAAAUGAGAGUGUGAAAAGUGUUGUGUUCUUCAAUUUCGGUUGGAUUUUUGGUAUUCCUGCACGGCCGCCAUUGCGAGCCUCCAAAAUGCAAUAUAAUCUCAUAAGACUAUAAGGCUUGCAUAAGCGAUUUUCUACUAUCGAUGAAUAACAAUUAUUCAGCAUAUCAGUAGCAUAUAUGUAUGUAGAUCGGCGCAACAACUACAAACAAACGUUGAAUAGAGAAGGUGAAUUGCUGGAUUUUUUGCUAGACACAUAAAUGCUGAGAAAUCAAGAAAAUAUGCGUGUAUUUGUUGGUGUGUCUGUAAUCAAGUAUCCGCAUUCACAAUACCACAUUCUUGCCACUUAAGCGCGAUCAGCUAGCUGGCAGCAGUAACCUCCGUUGCUAUAUGCAGUGAAAUUACUUGGAAAAUAUAUUAAAUGAAGCUACGAAAAAAAUCAGCCACAAUUGGAAUGAAAAAUAUCCCUUCAUACUUCACGCUUUUACCAAGCUUUCGGCACCAAUGGACCCAUUUACAUGGACACCAAACUAUUUAGUAUACAAAAUGUUUCAUUUAAGCUUAUUUGGAAUAGCUGUUAUAUAAAAUUUUUUCUCA
Molecule: long non-coding RNA, 738 nt
Organism: Bactrocera latifrons
Lineage: Eukaryota; Metazoa; Arthropoda; Insecta; Diptera; Tephritidae
Exons: 5
Source: RefSeq, a predicted model, not a curated record